Ictalurus punctatus (channel catfish) is the source of this 459-nucleotide long non-coding RNA. Lineage: Eukaryota; Metazoa; Chordata; Actinopteri; Siluriformes; Ictaluridae. The record is from Ensembl.
CAGCAGUGUUGCGUGAGUGUUUUUACUGCACAUCUUUGAUAUGAGUGCAGCGGUGUAUUAAAUUAUUUGGUGUAUGUUACAGAUAUAGCGCUCGGGGCUGUGACUCCUCCAUGUGUUACUGAUGUGAAUGUCUGCACGCUAUUCCGCACUCAUUUACUGAGCUCACGUAUCUGAGCUCACGUGUUCAAUUACAGCUGAACAUCUGCCUGGUGUCAAACUGAGUUCUACAUCAGCAGCUAACAAUAAAGUGAAAGAUUUAACAGGAAGUCAGAAAUUGUCUACAAGCUCCUCCUCCAGCCAUGUGUAGGAGGUGUGUGUUGGAGGGUGGAGGUGUGUGUUGGAGGGUGGAGGUGUGUGUUGGAGGGUGGAGGUGUGUGUUGGAGGGUAGAGGUGUGUGUUGGAGGGUGUAGGUGUGUGUUGGAGGGUGUAGGUGUGUGUUGGAGGGUGGAGGUGUGUGUU